GUUGACCUCGGAUCAGGUAGGAAGACCCGCUGAACUUAAGCAUAUCAAUAAGCGGAGGAAAAGAAACCAACAGGGAUUGCCCUAGUAACGGCGAGUGAAGCGGCAACAGCUCAAAUUUGAAAUCUGGCUUCGGCCCGAGUUGUAAUUUGCAGAGGAAGCUUUAGGCGCGGCACCUCCUGAGUCCCCUGGAACGGGGCGCCACAGAGGGUGAGAGCCCCGUAUAGUUGGAUGCCUAGCCUGUGUAAAGCUCCUUCGACGAGUCGAGUAGUUUGGGAAUGCUGCUCAAAAUGGGAGGUAAAUUUCUUCUAAAGCUAAAUACCGGCCAGAGACCGAUAGCGCACAAGUAGAGUGAUCGAAAGAUGAAAAGCACUUUGAAAAGAGGGUUAAAUAGCACGUGAAAUUGUUGAAAGGGAAGCGCUUGUGACCAGACUUGCGCCGGGCUGAUCAUCCGGUGUUCUCACCGGUGCACUCUGCCCGGCUCAGGCCAGCAUCGGUUCUCGCGGGGGGAUAAAGGCCCUGGGAACGUAGCUCCUCCGGGAGUGUUAUAGCCCGGGGCGCAAUGCCCUCGCGGGGACCGAGGUUCGCG
This 586-nucleotide ribosomal RNA is filed under the name Chaetomium sp. U42. RNAcentral describes it as "eukaryotic LSU rRNA". It matches the Rfam family "Eukaryotic large subunit ribosomal RNA", at positions 1 to 597 of the family's 3401-position model. The record is from RNAcentral. Lineage: Eukaryota; Fungi; Ascomycota; Sordariomycetes; Sordariales; Chaetomiaceae.